Regulatory RNA element from Aquimarina atlantica, 65 nucleotides. It matches the Rfam family "S15-Flavobacteria ribosomal protein leader". The record is from Rfam. Lineage: Bacteria; Pseudomonadati; Bacteroidota; Flavobacteriia; Flavobacteriales; Flavobacteriaceae.
UAUAUUUGCACGCUAAUAGCAAAGAGCUAUUGAUACAUAAAAAUCAUUUAAAUAAUAUUGGAAUG